UACGGGGGGGGCAAGCGUUGUUCGGAAUUACUUGGCGUAAAGGGCUCGUAGGCGGCCCACUAAGUCAGAUGUGAAAUCCCCAGGCUCAACCUGGGAACUGCAUCUGAUACUGGUGGGCUUGAAUUCGGGAGAGGGAUGCAGAAUUCCAGGUGUAGCGGUGAAAUGCGUAGAUAUCUGGAGGAAUACCGGUGGCGAAGGCGGCAUCCUGGACCGACAUUGACGCUGAGGAGCGAAAGCUAGGGGAGCAAACGGG
RNAcentral lists this ribosomal RNA (253 nucleotides) under uncultured bacterium. RNAcentral's name for it is "partial 16S ribosomal RNA". It matches the Rfam family "Bacterial small subunit ribosomal RNA", at positions 524 to 776 of the family's 1533-position model. The record is from RNAcentral.